This 74-nucleotide transfer RNA is filed under the name Rickettsiales bacterium. RNAcentral's name for it is "tRNA-Cys". It matches the Rfam family "tRNA". From Rfam's summary of the family: Transfer RNA (tRNA) molecules are approximately 80 nucleotides in length. Their secondary structure includes four short double-helical elements and three loops (D, anti-codon, and T loops). Further hydrogen bonds mediate the characteristic L-shaped molecular structure. tRNAs have two regions of fundamental functional importance: the anti-codon, which is responsible for specific mRNA codon recognition, and the 3' end, to which the tRNAs corresponding amino acid is attached (by aminoacyl-tRNA synthetases). tRNAs cope with the degeneracy of the genetic code in two manners: having more than one tRNA (with a specific anti-codon) for a particular amino acid; and 'wobble' base-pairing, i.e. permitting non-standard base-pairing at the 3rd anti-codon position. Lineage: Bacteria; Pseudomonadati; Pseudomonadota; Alphaproteobacteria; Rickettsiales. The record is from RNAcentral.
GGCCUGGUGGCAGAAUGGUUAUGCAGAGGACUGCAAAUCCUUGUAAGCCGGUUCGAUUCCGACCCAGGCCUCCA